RNAcentral lists this long non-coding RNA (1445 nucleotides) under Phasianus colchicus (ring-necked pheasant). Its description in RNAcentral is "lncRNA (ENSPCLG00000008803.1)". Lineage: Eukaryota; Metazoa; Chordata; Aves; Galliformes; Phasianidae. The record is from RNAcentral.
AGUACACCUGCAGGACCUCAUUAGCACUGAUUUUGGCUCCUAACACUAACAAAUGAGCUGCUGUAGUAACAUUACCUUUUUAAAAGAAGUAAAAUCAAGCUUCCAUCAACUGAUACUUGGGAGAUCAGAUGCCUGCAUCCCUGUCUCACCAGCAAGCCCCCUCCAUCUCUUCCUUCCCCCAGCCCAGUCUGCUGCUCCAGUACAGGCAGCUGAUUGGCUGCCUGCAAGAAGUAGAGACCUGGGCCAUUCUCCAGGCUUCCUGAAGGAGGAAAUCAAGGGAACACAAAACUUCGGAGGGCCCCACCUGACAUGGCAGUGGCAUGUCCCAGAGCAGACAGUGUUGAGGAUGCUGGCCCACAGCCCUGUGACACAGAUGUGGUCCUCGGUCCUUCCCAGCCAUGACAACUUGAGCAUGGCUGGAUAAGGUGCUUCAAAGGAAGUAAAUGGCUGAAUAACUUCAGCAGUGCCUGAGCAGAGCAAUGGUGCAGUCCAGAAAUCAGCCCAGCAAUCAGAAACUGUUGUAACCGCCUGUGGUAACCUCUGCUGAGCCCUUCUUUAAAUCACAAAUGCACUGCAGGGAGGUGGAAAAACAUUUAUCUUCAUAAUUGUCUUCCACUCGUCUGUCCAGCAGUGCAAACAGAAGAGCAGGAGGACCAAAUUAUUGCUUUCAGAUGAGAAAUGCAGCUGGAGAAAUCUCUCUCCUGUUCUGCUUGGACUGAGCAGAGCGCUGCCCUGGGCUUUGAGGGACACCAGGCCAUCCUCCAUGCAUCACCUCCUGAUCCUCAGGAGGAACAAUUCCUUCCCACCAGCUGCUACAGCCCUCCGGUGACAAACCCCUCACACAGCACUGUGUCUGUUCCCACCCCCAUCCCUCACAGCCGUCCCCAGAGGCCGCCUGAUCCCGGCCUCCUUCCCAGCCUGAGGGCCCUCGCAGGAACAGCAGGGGAUAUUUUUAGCCUGUUUACAGAGAGCAGCACAUUUGGGUCCAGCCAUCCGGGCAGUGACAUGGCAGCUGGGUGCUGGGAAAGGAGAGGGAAUUAGAAAGAGCACCAGAGCUGGCAGAGGCCACCAGGUGGGUGCUGGAUUACUGUGAACACACCACAGCUGAUGCCGGAAUGCCGGUGAAUGCCAUUUACUGUUCCCUCAACUCUGGGAUUUUCUGUUCCAGCCAGGAUGUUCUGGUGUGGACGAUGCUGUAGCCCUUCCCCAAAUAUUCGACAGGCAAACACCCUAUGCACCACGCCAGCACAACUCACAAAGCAGCAGCAUUCACAAGGAGCGUGUUUCCCAUAAGCAGCCCAUGUUAAUUCCUUAGUUGAAACCACAGGCCAGGGGCCUCAUUCCCAUCAGCACAGGAUUGCAGCCCCUCAGACCAACCUGAAGGUACCUUUCCCUCACACUCCUCCAGCAGACAUCCCAUGCCUUGCUGCCUGGGGGUUUGGCAU